AAACAAACAACAACAACAAAAACCAAACACAAUUGGCAUCUCCAGCUUACCUUAAAGACAGUUACUUGGGUGCCUUCCCAUAGGCCCAGCAGUGUGUAGCCCUAGUAACACAGCUAGAGAACCAUGUCUCAUUCUGAAGGACCAGGUGGGAUUAUCAGGCUGAUCAAGGGUAGCCAAGCAUUCAGAGGAGCUGGAAGGUCUUUAGAUGAAAAUAUGAUAGUAUUUUUUGUAAAGUUGGGGGGUUGCAAGACAGGAUUUCCUUGUAUAGUCCUGGCCGUUCUGGACUUAUCUCUGUAGACCAGGCUGGCUUCAAACUUAUAGAGAUCUGUGUUGCCUCUUCCUUCCUAAGUGCUGGGACGAAAGGUGUGCACCACCUCUGCCUCGUACUCUGUCAGCUCUUUAUAACAUCUAGGCAAGCAUCAACCACAGGUUGAUUUUAAGUCUCAUACUGGAAAAUCAGAUAAGAUUUCACAAUCACCAGCCAUCUCUCUGGCUAAGGGCUUUGAUUGCUUCAGUAGACAGUCUAUGUGAGCCUUUCCCAAUGGUGUACCCAAGGCCCUUGAGAAGUUUGCCUCCCAGACACCAAUGGCCUUGUCUCCCCGGCCCAUUUCUUUUCUGUGUGCUUUGGAGAACUGGGGUGGGGAUUAAGUAUCUAAAAGCCCUCCCGUUGUAAAUAGACUGUCACAUGGGCACUGCAGUCUCCACCUUCUAGAUUAUUAGAAUUUUUUCUUUCUCGUCUACCCUUGUUUUUGGUACACAGGCCAUUCCAGGAAAAAAAAUGAGGUCAACAUGCCAGAUAAGUUGACAAGUAUUGUUCAGAGUCUGGAAAGAAGAAGCCUAUUUAUCUUGCCUGCUGCCCCCUGCCUCCUACCCUGCUUCCCCCCCCCCCAUACACAUAGGGCUUCAUGUAGUCCAUCCUCGCCUGUGAACUAGGGAUCAACUUGAACUUCUUGUUCUGUCUGUCCCUACCUCCUGAGUGCUGGGACUACAUGGAUAUCACUAUGCUUUACCAUGCCCAGUUUAUGAGCUCUAAGAAUUAAGCCUAAGUCUUCAUGUCUACGCAGGCAUUCCGUCCGCCCAGCUCCAUCUCAGGCUCAUGCAUUUCUCAUGCACAUCCGUGUUUGGAGACCAAUUUGAAUAGAACACUUUUUGUGCCAGGAAGUGGCAGACAAGUGCUCAUCCCAGGUCACUCAAACCAGAGGAACAAUGACUGGAGAAGUUAAGCAGGGUGGAGCACACCUCCCAGGAGACAGUCCCCUUCUAGGCUUGCAGAAUUCAGUGCAGAGGGGAGGAGGCUACCCUGAUUAGAGAGUUAGUGUGGGAGCCUAGUCUCUAGCUGCCUCUGCCUCUGCCUCUGCCUCUUGCUUUGGUCAAUGAGUAGAAGCUACCGGUUAGAGCUCCUUGUUGUCAGGUCCCAAGCAAAACUGCUUGCAACCACUUAGCACUCAGUGGCCUUCUGGGAGUCCGGGUUCACCCCUGGAUGCUGGUAAGAGUUCUUUGUGGUGAGAAUGUAUAUGCUGUUAUUUUCUUACUUACCCACUUAACAAUCCACUUCCCCCUGCUGCUUCCCCUCUCCCCAGUUAACAAGGCUCCUACUAGCAGUCACCAUUGCCUUCCCUGGGUCAAGUGGAUAAUGAGGGAGCUGGCUGCCUGGCUUCCUCUUCAAACUAGGGUGUUUACCUUGGGAGGUAGCAGAGGUUCAAUACAUAGACUCAGAGGCAGCCUUGAGUGAGGAGGAAUCAACACUAGGUCAGGAGACAGAACACCAAGUUGAAAGCACACUGU
This 1785-nucleotide long non-coding RNA is filed under the name Mus musculus (house mouse). RNAcentral's name for it is "long non-coding RNA chr11:67575137-67576922". The record is from RNAcentral. Lineage: Eukaryota; Metazoa; Chordata; Mammalia; Rodentia; Muridae.